Molecule: non-coding RNA, 97 nt
Organism: Paramarasmius palmivorus
Lineage: Eukaryota; Fungi; Basidiomycota; Agaricomycetes; Agaricales; Marasmiaceae
Source: the annotation of a GenBank genome assembly
UCCGUUAUGGUGUAGUGGCUAACAUUAUCGCCUCUCAUCCAUUCUGUCGCCAUCAACGAAGUCGCGAUAGCCCAGGGUUCGAUUCCCUGUAACGGAA